Molecule: long non-coding RNA, 407 nt
Organism: Penaeus monodon (black tiger shrimp)
Lineage: Eukaryota; Metazoa; Arthropoda; Malacostraca; Decapoda; Penaeidae
Exons: 3
Source: RefSeq, a predicted model, not a curated record
UGUGCACCUGGACCCUCGCCGGAGCAGACAGUGAAAAACAUAAUACGAAAUCCUUCAAAACCACAUUUUUCAUCUGUGUUUAAACAUGGGGUUUGAUUUCCAAAAACAUCGACGUCCCCUUGUCAUGGGCAGUAUAUUCGCCAUGUUGUCACUAGUGUAUACUUUUCGACUUGAUUUAAUCGGAGACAUUUCAAAAGAGAAACAAGAACUUCUCCGACAGACAGAUGUCAGUGGCAGCAAUAAGAUAAAGGAAACCAUAAGAGAAACCCAGCUUGAUUACUUCAGAAAUUUAUCUGGGGAAAAGAAAUAAUUAUGGACCCUUUCCUGUAAGGCUGAAUAUGCAGACAACUGUGAUAGGGGUGCUGGAAGGCCAGAAGAAUGGCAUUUCCAAAACUUUGUAAAUAGAU